GACGGAGGAGGCUAGCGUUGUUCGGAAUUACUGGGCGUAAAGCGCACGCAGGCGGCCGACCGAGUCGGGUGUGAAAGCCCGGGGCUCAACCCCGGAUGUGCAUUCGAUACUGGUUGGCUGGAGCCCGGGAGAGGAGAGCGGAAUUCCCAGUGUAGAGGUGAAAUUCGUAGAUAUUGGGAAGAACACCGGUGGCGAAGGCGGCUCUCUGGUCCGGUGCUGACGCUCAGGUGCGAAAGCGUGGGGAGCAAACAGG
RNAcentral lists this ribosomal RNA (253 nucleotides) under uncultured bacterium. RNAcentral describes it as "partial 16S ribosomal RNA". It matches the Rfam family "Bacterial small subunit ribosomal RNA", at positions 524 to 776 of the family's 1533-position model. The record is from RNAcentral.